Molecule: ribosomal RNA, 283 nt
Filed under: Sorghum bicolor (sorghum)
Lineage: Eukaryota; Viridiplantae; Streptophyta; Magnoliopsida; Poales; Poaceae
Description: rRNA SSU_rRNA_eukarya
Rfam family: Bacterial small subunit ribosomal RNA
Source: RNAcentral
GCAUAUGGUUUUAAUUCGAUGCAAAAUGAAGAACCUUACCAGAACUUGACAUGACGCGGAUCCUCUUGAAAGAGAGGGAUGCCCUCGGGAACCGGACACAAGUGGUGCAUGAUUGUCGCCAGCUCGGGUCGUAAGAUGUUAGGUUAAGUCAAUAGCGAGUGCAACUCUUUGUGUUUAGUUGCUAUAAGUUUGGAACCUUGAGUAGGCCAUCGGUGUUAAGCUGGAGGAAGGAGAGGAUGAGGCCAAGUUAUCAUGCCUCUUGUGUCCUGAGCGACACACGUGC